Molecule: transfer RNA, 23 nt
Filed under: Primula cuneifolia
Lineage: Eukaryota; Viridiplantae; Streptophyta; Magnoliopsida; Ericales; Primulaceae
Also listed under: 107 other names
Description: partial tRNA-Leu
Source: RNAcentral
GAAAAUCCGUCGACUUUAGAAAU